RNAcentral lists this small RNA (126 nucleotides) under Marmota monax (woodchuck). The record is from RNAcentral. Lineage: Eukaryota; Metazoa; Chordata; Mammalia; Rodentia; Sciuridae.
GCCAGGUAUGGUGGCGCAUGCCUGUAAUCCCACCGACUCAGGAGGUUGAGACAGGAGGAUCGCAAGUUUAAAGUUGGCCUGAGCAACUUAUGAGGCCCUAAGCAACUCAGUGAGACCAUGUCUCAA